RNAcentral lists this microRNA precursor (91 nucleotides) under Neogale vison (American mink). Its description in RNAcentral is "Neovison vison (American mink) microRNA 222 (ENSNVIG00000016852.1)". It matches the Rfam family "mir-221 microRNA precursor family". The record is from RNAcentral. Lineage: Eukaryota; Metazoa; Chordata; Mammalia; Carnivora; Mustelidae.
UAGGUACCCUCAAUGGCUCAGUAGCCAGUGUAGAUCCUGUCUUUUGUAAUCAGUAGCUACAUCUGGCUACUGGGUCUCUGAUGGCAUCUUC